AGUGCGUGUCCAGGCCUGAGUUGAGGCAAAGGACAAUUGGCAGUCGUUUAGAAGCAUCUGGAAGAGUCGGUUGACAAGAAGCGUGCGUGCGAGUGGAUUUACGAGGUCUUCGGAGUAUAAUACAUGUGUAUAACUGUUGUGUGUGAAAUAAAGUGAAUUAUUUGAAUUUCCGAAUCCCUCCUAUAUCUUUACAAUAUAUUAUUGCAUCAAUUGAAGCAAGAUGAAGUUUGCAGAACAUCUGUCUGCUCACAUUACGCCUGAAUGGCGUAAGCAAUACAUAAGCUAUGAGGAAAUGAAGGCAAUGCUCUAUACUGCUGGAGAAGAAGCACCGUCAGCUGAAAGUGUUGUUCGUGAUAUUUCGAUCGAUAGAAAGUUCUGAUCAAACGCAAAUUUUGCGUAUCAUGGGUGAAGAAGAAAAUGGUGUACUCAAUAGAGGUAAACGUAAAGUUGGUGGUAAACGACAAGCUACUAGUAAAGAAGACAAACGGGCAUUGCUGAAAGAAGAAACAGUUGAUAUAGAUAUAUCAAAUGCCAGCUAAAAAUAGUUCAAUUGUUUUAUUAUCAGAACCUACGCAAAGCAAUAUUAUUCCAAAUUUAAUGUAAUUUUUAUAUAGGCAAUAGUUUGCCAGAAAAAGUGCAGGUCGUACUUUAUGAACAAUUAAUAUUUCCUUUGUGCAUCAAAAUUGAAGAUUGUGAGGCUGAACUGAACAAGUGCCUUGUAUAUAUCCUGUUUAUUAAACUAUGAAUUUAAUAACUUAGUGUAAAGAUAUAGAAGGGAUUCGGAAAUUCAAAUAGUUCACUUUGUUCAACACACAACAGUUAUACACAUAUGUUAUACUCUGAAGACCUCGUAAACCUACUCGCACGCUCGCUUGUUGUCAACCGACUCUUCCAGAUGCUUCUUAACGACGGCUACAAGAGCUGCUUCAGGAGCUGCGGAUUUUAAUGCUAAAGUCUGGGAUGCAAUUAAAGGAGAAGAAAUUCAUUCGUUUCAACACAAACAUAUUGUAAAGUCUGUCAACUUCAGCAUUGAUUCUAAUUAUUUGUGCACAAGUUCUAAUGAGAAACUUGUGCGAAUUUAUGAUCUUAACAAACCAGAUGCAGCACCACAGGUAUUCUCGGGUCAUAAAAUUGGCAUCAGGCAUGUUACGUUUUUCAAUAAUGAUACUGCAUUAAUUACCUGUGGCGAUGACAAAACAUUGAGAGUUUGGGACAGAAAGAGUGGUCAAGAAGUAAGAAGGUUAGAUUUUCCAGCAAUUCCAAAUUCUAUGGAAGUGUCAAGAGAUGGGAACAUUAUUACCACAACUCACUCCAACAUAGUCACUUUUUGGAAUAGCAGAGAGUAUGUCCAUUUCUUUCUGUUUUACCAUAACGCGUACAGCAUAUCUUAAAAUAUAAAAUAAAUGAAGUCAGCAAAACAAGUUCAAGGUCAGUGUGUAAUGUACCUGCUUGUACACCUGUUGGUACAGACACAUUAAUAUCCUGAACAUGGAUUUUCUACAGAACCUCCAAGUUAACCUUGUCCCACUAGGAAGUACUUUCCAGUGUAUAUUUUACAUUUUAAUAGAUUGUAUAUCUUUUAUUCAUGUUUGCUCUCCAAAAUACUAGAAAAAGCAAUAUACGCCCGACUAAAACCAAUAAUAGAGAAGGAAAAACUAAUACCAGACCAUCAAUUUGGAUUCAGAAAUAAACACUCCGCCAUAGAAGAAAUGCACAGGCUUGUCAACGAAAUAAUACA
Bombus pascuorum is the source of this 1738-nucleotide long non-coding RNA. RefSeq lists it as uncharacterized. Lineage: Eukaryota; Metazoa; Arthropoda; Insecta; Hymenoptera; Apidae. The record is from RefSeq and is a predicted model, not a curated record. The transcript is spliced from 4 exons.